RNAcentral lists this ribosomal RNA (468 nucleotides) under uncultured bacterium. RNAcentral's name for it is "partial 16S ribosomal RNA". It matches the Rfam family "Bacterial small subunit ribosomal RNA", at positions 28 to 507 of the family's 1533-position model. The record is from RNAcentral.
GACGAACGCUGGCGGCGUGCUUAACACAUGCAAGUCGAACGGAAAGGCCCUGCUUUUGUGGGGUGCUCGAGUGGCGAACGGGUGAGUAACACGUGAGUAACCUGCCCUUGACUUUGGGAUAACUUCAGGAAACUGGGGCUAAUACCGGAUAGGAGCUCCUGCUGCAUGGUGGGGGUUGGAAAGUUUCGGCGGUUGGGGCUGGACUCGCGGCUUAUCAGCUUGUUGGUGGGGUAGUUGCUUACCAAGGCUUUGACGGGUAGCCGGCCUGAGAGGGUGACCGGCCACAUUGGGACUGAGAUACGGCCCAGACUCCUACGGGAGGCAGCAGUGGGGAAUAUUGCACAAUGGGCGGAAGCCUGAUGCAGCAACGCCGCGUGCGGGAUGACGGCCUUCGGGUUGUAAACCGCUUUCGCCUGUGACGAAGCGUGAGUGACGGUAAUGGGUAAAGAAGCACCGGCUAACUACGUG